AGAUCUGGAAAGGAGGAGGAGAAAAAGGAGGAUGGGCUUCCAUGGCUGCAUAGGGCAUCCUUCGGCAGGAUGUGUUCUGAGCUCCAAAGCGGUGGAGGGUGGAGACUCAAACCUUCAAGAGCUCCUACAACUUUGAGAUUCUCUGAUGGAUUCAGGGCUAUGGGAGGAAGCGGUUGUGGUCCGUGUUUGUUCCCAGGAUUGCUGUUUCUUGGCUCCCAGAUGUCCCUGCUCCUGGCUUUCAUCCUGCUUUGCCUGCCCUGGCUUCAAGAGACUGGUGCCCUUCCACGCAUUCCCUUAUCCAGGCUUUUGGAAGACGCUGUGCUCCAUGCCCAUCAGCUGCAUCAGCUGGCCUUUGACACCUACCAGGAGUUUGAAGAAGAUUGUAUCCCAAAUGAACAGAAGUAUUUCUUCCUGCAGAACCCCAAGACCUCCCUCUGCUUCUCAGAGUCUAUCCUGACACCCUCAAACAAGGAGGAAAUGCUGGCGAAAUCUAACCUAGAGCUGCUCCACAUCUCCCUGCUGUUCAUCCAGUCCUGGCUCAAACCCGUGCAGCUCCUCAGGGGUGUCUUUGCCAACAGUGAACUGCAUAGGGUCUCGAACACCAACAUCUAUGAGUCCCUGAAGGACCUAGAAGAAGGCAUUCAAACUGUGAUGGGAGGCUGGAAGAGGUCAGCCACCAGACUGGGGAGAUCAUCAAGCAAAAUUGCAGCAUGUUUGACACAAACUUGCACAACAAUGACACACUGCUCAAGAGCUACUGGCUGCUCUAUUACUUCAGGAAGGACAUGCACAAGGUCAAGACAUUCCUGCGCAUUGUGCAGUGCCUCUCUGUGGAGGGCCUCUGUGGCCUCUAGCUGCUGGAUGGCAUCCCUGUGACCCCUUCCCAGUGCCUCUCUUGGCCCUGGAAGGUGGCACUCCAGUGCCCACCAGCCCUGUCCUAAUAAAAUUAAGUUGCAUC
RNA transcript from Callithrix jacchus (white-tufted-ear marmoset), 958 nucleotides. It is a transcript of the gene named growth hormone 1 pseudogene, with no coding region annotated. The record is from RefSeq and is marked validated. Lineage: Eukaryota; Metazoa; Chordata; Mammalia; Primates; Cebidae.